RNAcentral lists this long non-coding RNA (1167 nucleotides) under Oryza sativa Indica Group (long-grained rice). Its description in RNAcentral is "lncRNA OsMH63_02G028620". Lineage: Eukaryota; Viridiplantae; Streptophyta; Magnoliopsida; Poales; Poaceae. The record is from RNAcentral.
UCAAAUUAUCGGGCCCAAGUAGUACAGACGCUGCCGCUUGGUACUCGGGCGUGUUUUCACACCUCCGAGCGCGUGCACACCCACCCGCACCGCCGCAUGCUCAACCGGGCCACUUAUCUUACAGAAAGCUGGGCUACGAGAGACCACCACCACCGCCACGGCCCGCGCUGCGUCAGCCGACGAACCCACCGUGGCCACGCCCCCGGAGGCAUCGAGGGCAGCACAGUUGCGCCGCGCCGACGGUGCCGGACGAGCAGCCGACCGGCCGUCGACCAGUGGCUCCCACCGAGUCCAGGUUCCUCCCGCGGCGCCACCCAAAGGCGCAGCCGCGCGAGGUACCCCGGGCGGCGGCUGCGGCAAUCAUCAGACACUUCCAAGUUCCAACUGAACGUUAGGAUGCAUUUGAGCUGGCUACAAAAGAGCUACAGCAUACUGCUGUGUCCAGGCGUGAUGCCCCUGCAAUGCUUGUUUAUGGUCUUCUUAAAUCUUAAGCAUGUUGUAAAUACAUGGAUAGGAUACGACUGGUUAUUCUUCCUGUCUCUUGUCAAAGCUCAAGUUGAAAACUUUGCCACCGCACUUGGGUUGACAUCUCAACCUAAUUGCUAUUUGACACUGCUAACUUUGAGCACGCGAAAGGAAAUUUCUCCAGUCCAUGCUUGUGUAGUUAGCUACCCAGAGUGCAGACUUGGUGUACUGCACGAAUGGAGACAGGGUGGCGGCAUUGGAAACCAUAUUCUUUGUUCGAUGAUAUCCAAAAUCUUCACCAUCUGGAAGACAUACUAUCAGCAGACUAAGCAGCACGUCCAUAUCAUUUCCAGAAUCAUAUCAAGCAGGCUGCUGAGCGUGCGACGGGUUUUGCAGAAGCACAAGGCUGGUACACAGAGAAGACAUGAAAUGCUCGAGUUUCCGUGUUUACCACUACGAAAGAACACUAUUAGGACAGAGUGAUGCUCUUGAUGCGCAAAAAGCCGGGUGCUGCUUACUCCGUGCGAGUUGUGACAGGCACCUUUCAUGGACCAAUCGCCCAUCACCGAAUAACGUGGCAGCAGUCUCAGUGAGAAGGUUGGCAGGUUAUCACCGUGUCUCGUACUGACAAUUCAAGUUUCUGAAUUAACCUAUGCCCAUUUCUUCUGCAUCUAUAAAACCUUGUAAUUAAGAAGCUUUUGU